Molecule: transfer RNA, 29 nt
Filed under: Craseomys rufocanus (Gray red-backed vole)
Lineage: Eukaryota; Metazoa; Chordata; Mammalia; Rodentia; Cricetidae
Description: Myodes rufocanus (Gray red-backed vole) partial tRNA-Thr
Source: RNAcentral
AGAAAUGAAAAGCCACUUUUCUCAGGACA